UCGCCCUUAGUUGCCAUCACGUUGGGUGGGCACUCUAAGGGAACUGCCGGUGACAAGCCGGAGGAAGGUGGGGAGUGACGUCAAGUCCUCAUGGCCCUUACGGGCUGGGCUACACACGUGCUACAAUGGCGGUGACAACGGGCAGCGAUGGGGCGACCCGGAGCUAAUCUCGAAAAACCGUCUCAGUUCGGAUUGCACUCUGCAACUCGAGUGCAUGAAGGUGGAAUCGCUAGUAAUCGCGGAUCAGCAUGCCGCGGUGAAUACGUUCCCGGGCCUU
RNAcentral lists this ribosomal RNA (277 nucleotides) under uncultured Rhodospirillaceae bacterium. RNAcentral's name for it is "partial 16S ribosomal RNA". It matches the Rfam family "Bacterial small subunit ribosomal RNA", at positions 1105 to 1382 of the family's 1533-position model. Lineage: Bacteria; Pseudomonadati; Pseudomonadota; Alphaproteobacteria; Rhodospirillales; Rhodospirillaceae. The record is from RNAcentral.